Molecule: long non-coding RNA, 1002 nt
Organism: Clupea harengus (Atlantic herring)
Lineage: Eukaryota; Metazoa; Chordata; Actinopteri; Clupeiformes; Clupeidae
Source: RefSeq, a predicted model, not a curated record
CAAUUGGCUGAUUCCUGACAUCGUCAUCUAAAAUAAUCCAUCCCUUUUUCGUGUUUGGACAGUAUAUAAACAGACAGAAUUUCAUCUUUCCCGUGGCACUCAGUAACAUCAUUCUUACGGCUACGUGGAUCGAAAGUGGGUGGGAAUCUGCCACGAUUGACAUUUGUUCAAUGGCAGCUGCUGACGGUGUGGAGAGACUCACACGGUUUGAAUAAAAUGGCCCGAGAGAGUCACCUGUUGAUCCUGUCGUGAUAUGGUGGCAAGUUAUUUCAGCCGGAAGACUGAAUGGCGAAUGUCACACGUGCUGUUGGGCGUCUUUCAGCACUGAAGAAGAGAACAGCUCCCACGGUGUGCCCUCAAGUCUUGUCGAUGGAAGGUCUUCAUAUGGACAUCACAGCCAGGGGGUUUGGGGAUGAUCAGCACUGAUGGAUUUGGCCUAAAUGAAUGGGGACCUGGGGGAAGAAACAUGGAGACAUUUUGAAGAGGGAUUGACCUGCUCUGAGUGCUGGGUGGAAGACUAGUGAUUUUGUUGUGAAAUUGAACAGACACUAACAACAAAACCCAGUCUGCCUCCCAGCACAGGGUACGGGGCUGCAGUGUCUUUUUUCACAUCUGGAUUUGAGCAGAAGGAUAGCCCACAUGCCUUGAUCAUCUUUAGCAAGAUGUAAGAAUUCUAUAAUAAAAUGAAUAUACUUGGUCCAUUUUUUUUUAUUCAGAUUUAUUAUAAUAAUAUCUACAAAAGUAUGUUUUUGUGAUAUGCCUUCAUGUUUUCAAUAACUGAUCAAUAAAAAAACACUACUUAUUGUUCUUACUUUCUAUGGAACAUAGAGCUGGUUUGUUUUUGGUAUAGGUGUAAGGUUGUGGGCUAGAGAGAUCUUUGUACAUGCACCUUAAUAUUGGCUCAAGGAAUUACAGUCCGCCCCAGUAGGCAGGCUACUAGGCUAUAGCUUGCUAUUAUAAGCUGUUCCAGCUCAGUGGGCAGUAGACUACCAGGAAAUUUAG